UUUUUUUUUUUUUUUUUUUUUUUUUGGGUUCGAAAACGAGAGAUCAUUUGGUAUUCAUGUGUUGUUGGGUACGUACAAUUUUUAUGUUUCCUGGUACGUUUUUUUGUUCAUGGGUUCACUGUCUUUGUAUGUACCCAUAAUAAAUUUAUUGGGGUACAUUAUUUCCCUUAAUACUACUUGAUAAAAUUUGCAGAAAUAUUAAUGUUAUCAUGUACAUCGAAUAUUAAUGUUAUCUUGUACAACGAAUAUUAAUGUUAUCGUGGAAGAUUAUGUGUUGUCGUGCUUUUGAACACCCAUACCUGCUUCUCCUCGGCACUUGAUAGCGGGGUCUUUACGACCACCUUUACAACAGUAACCGUAAGCCUUCUUUGCUAAAGCCAAAAUUCCACCAUUUCUUACUCAAAGGAAUUCUCUUGCCAAAAAAGGCCAGUUGCUCUUCUAGUAAAUCAUAGGUCGUCCAUUCAGAUAUUACUUUGAUUAUCAUGAACCUCCAAAUAUCACCAGCUGUCCCAUAAUUUCAGAUUUUAUGGAUUCCACUUUAAAUUGAUUAGUUGAGAGUUUGGUCGUUAUACUAAUAUUCAAAAAUAAAAUAUAAAUUUUAAUAAGAGUAACAUUUUAAGGGAUUAAAUGGAAUAUGUGAUUUAACAUUAGGUUUUUUUUUUUUUUUUUAAAUUCUAAUCUUUUGCAAGGACUAAUAUUAAAAAAUUUCUUUUCCUUUUCAACUAAGGUUCAAUAUCAAUUCUAAUUCUUUUAUUGACAUUUCUUUAAAACACAAAAUAUUGAUGGACUCAGUUCUAAUUAUGAAUAUAUUAUCUGAGCUAAAAACAAAUUAACCCUGUUGGUUGUUGGGCAGAUUUCAAAAUCUAUUAAAACAUUGAUUAUAGUUAUAGAUCUCCAAACCUCAAAAAGGUUGGUUAGAUUUUAUGGAUUCCACUUUAAAUUGAUUAGUUGAGAGCUUGGUCGUUACUAGUCACGGCAAACAUGAAUUAUAAGACACUACGGGCACGUUUGUUUGACAGGAUUCGCUGGGACUGGACUGGACUAGACUAUAGUCCAGUGUUUGGUGGGCACCGGGAUUAGCUUUAAUGAGCUUAGGUGGGAUUCGCUAGGACUAAGGGGGGGCUUAGCCGUUCUUCACGAGGGAUCUCAAUUUGGGGCGGACUCGUAAGCCAGAGAAACCGCGUCUUCCCACAUCUCACAUCCCACAUCGUCCUCAUCUCUGCGUCUACCCUCGUCGUCGUCCUUGCCGUGCUCCGACAUCGUCCUCACGCUCAUCGUCGUCCUUGCAUCUGGUCGCUGUCAUCUGCCUCAAGUUGGUAAGCUUCGAAUCUUGGAUUUUUUUCGUCGAUUUGUGUGGAUUUGUUUGUGAUAUUAACUGAGGUUUAUUUGAUUUUGUUGUUUUGGGUUUGAGAAAUUCAUAAUAUACAAGUGGAUUUGCAAUUGAACAAAUUAGGGUUUUGAUAUUUAGGUGAAAUUGAGAUUAGAAUUUGGGGUUUUCAUAAGAUGAAAUUGAGAUUAGUCUCAGGUGUGUGCUCUCUGUGUGUGUGUGUUUGUGUGUACCGUGUGUAAUUUGUCUGUGUGUUUGUGUGUGUGUGCGUGUGUUUGUGUGUGUGUGUGUGUAAUCUGUGUGUAACCUGUGUAAUAUCUGUGUGUGUGUGUGAGUUGUGUGUGUAAAAUGUGUGUGUAAUCUAUCCGUGUGUGUGUGUGUAACUUGUGUUAUUUGCAGUGUGUGUGUGUGUGUGUGAGUUGUGUGUGUAACCUGUGUGUGAGUUGUGUGUGUAAAAUGUGUGUGUGUGCUGUGUGUGUGUAUGUAUGCAGUGUGUGUGUGUGUGUGUGUAUGUAUGCAGUAUGUAUGCAGUGUGUGUAUGUAUGCAGUGUGUGUGUGUGUGAGUAUGUAUGCAGUGUGUGUGAGUGUGUAUGCAGUGUGUGUGUGUGUGUGUGUGUGUGUGUGUAUGUAUGCAGUAUGUAUGCAGUGUGUGUGUGUGUGUGUAUGCAGUGUGUGUGUGUGUGUAUGUAUGCAGUGUGUGUGUGUGUGUGCAGUGUGUGUGUGUGUGUGUGUGUGUGUGUGCAGUGUGUGUGUGAGUGUGUAUGCAGUGUGUGUGUGAGUGUGUAUGCAGUGUGUGUGUGUGUGUGUGUGUUGUGUUAUGUAUGCAGUAUGUGUGUGUGUGUAUGUGCAGUGUGUGUGCAGUGUGUGCAGUGUGUGUGUGUGUGUGUGUGUGUGUAUGUAUGCAGUGUGUGUGUGUGUGUGUGCAGUGUGUGUGUGUGUGUGCAGUGUGUAUGUAUGCAGUAUGCAGUGCAUAUGCAUGUGUGUGUGUGUAUGUAUGCAGUGUGUGUGUGUGUGUGCAGUGUGUGUGUGAGUGUGUAUGCAGUGUGUGUGUGUGUAUGUAUGCAGUAUGUAUGCAGUGUGUGUGUGUGUGUGUGUGUGUGCAAUGUGUGUGUGUGUGUGCAGUGUGUGUGUGUGUGUGUGCAGUGUGUGUGUGUGUAUGCAGUGUGUGUGUGUUAGUGUGUUGCAUUCUGUCCCCGUGUGUGUGUGUGUGUGACUGUGUUUGUGGGUGAGUGUGAGUGUGUGUGAGUGUGAGUGUGUGUGCAGUGUGUGUGUAUGCAGUGUGUGUGUGUGUGUGUAUGCAGUAUGUGUGCAGUGUGUGUGUAUGUGUGCAGUGUGUGUGUAUGUGUGAGUGUGAGUGAGUGUGAGUGUGAGUGUGAGUGAGUGUGAGUGUGAGUCUAAGUGUGAGUGUGAGUGUGUGUGCAGUGUGUAUGUAUGCAGUGAGUGUGUGUGUGUGUGUGUGUGAGUAUAAAAACAGAGUAUAAAAACACAGUAUGUAUGCAGUGUGUGUGUAUGUAUGCAGUGUGUGUGUGUGUAUGUAUGCAGUGUGUGUGUGUGUGUGUGCAGUGUGUGUGUGUGUGUGCAGUGUGUGUGUGAGUGUGUAUGCAGUGUGUGUGUGCGCGCAGUGUGUGUGUGUGUGUGCAGUGUGUGUGUGUAUGCAGUGUGUGUGUGUGUGUGUAUGUAUGUAUGCAGGGUGUGUGUGAGUCUUUGUCAGUGUGUGAGAGUGUAUGUCCGUGUGUGUGUUAGUGUGAGUAUGUAUGUGUAUUUUGCACAUUUGUCCAUGAGUGUGUGUGUAUGUACUUGGUUUAUAACCAUGAUAUUACAAUGUGAAUGUUUUGUAUUGUGUGGGGUUGAUGCUGAAUUGCAAUUUUUUGUAGUUGUUGGUUGCAGAGAAGAGGAGCAUAAACAGAAGGCUAAGGCUAAGGCUAAGGCUACUGCAGAUCAUACUGACAUAGCUAAUGAACUUGAAGCAAUGGGUCUCUCUCCUAUGGAUCAAAUUGAUGCAUUGUCUCUUAUUUUGGAUAAACCAAAAAAUGUGGGAGUGUUCAGGGCAAUCAAACCGGAACUCAAGAAAGUGUUCGUCCAAAGGCUUUUAAGCGACAACGCAAGCGGAUGAGGAUUUUGGCUAAUGUUAACAUGGAUGUAUUUUAUUAACGUUAACAUGGAUGUAUUUUAUUAAUCAUACAAUCUUAUGUUAUGACUUAUAACUUAGCUUUGCACUAGUAUUUUGGCUUAUGUUAACUAGCCAUUUUGUAAAUUAUGGAGAUCUAUUUUGGCUAAUGUUAACUAAUGUUAACUAGGAUUUUCUAAAUUAUGGAGAUCUUAUGUACUUGUAUUUGUUGAAGUUGCAUGUAUUGGCCACUAUUAUUUUUCUUCUGUUGGGUGAUAGAGUUUAAAUCAAGCUACAUUUGCAAAUUAAACCCAAUUCUAUUAGCAGGUAAUAGAAACAAAAACAAUUGUCAAUUUUUUUUAAGAUUCAUAAUAUACAUGGCAAAAAUAUGCUCCAAUUAACCCAUAUCAUGAGAUUUGUAGCAUUACUCUAUUACACAAUGGCAAAAAUUUGUAGUCCUAGUCUAAGCAAACACAAAUCUGGUGAACAGUACUGUUUUUCUUAUCCUGCUUCUUAGUCCGAGACUGCACCAAACGCUUCACUAAGUUAGUCCAGCUUAGUCCAGUCUAAGCCAGUCCAGCUUAGUCCCGGCAGCUAGUCCAGUCCGAGACAGUCCAGCGCAACAAACGCACCCUACAUAAAUUGUUAGUUCGUUACACUUAUUAAGAUUUACAGAGACGGACCACCAAUCACUGCUAGCCACAUACAUCCUCCAAUUUUCAUCUUACCCCACAUGUUGUGAUGUGUAGGUGGUAGGAUGCAUGCAAUAUUAUCAAUUCUUUGACAUGGAAUUCUUGUAUGAUUUAACAUUUAUCAGUAGCAAUAUUGUCAUUUAAUUUGUUUUGUUUGGAAAAGGAUAUGUUUUUUAAAGUAGCCUUAGAUUCAGUGUUAAAUUCUCCUUGGUAUGGAACUUGUUUGUAUCAUACUUGAUUAAUCCUGAAACUACCAAGCACCGGUCAACGUUACCGGUCAACGUUAUACCGUCAAGGACCCAGAAGAGUUUCCCUCUAACCAGGAGGCUAAUCACAGCGCGACACGUGUCAAUAUCAGAGGUCAAUCACAACACGACACGUGUCAAUAUCAGAACAAAGCUAGAAACCCUCUUCUAUAAAAGGAGAUCAUUCUCCCACAAUAAUCUCUAAUGUCAUUUGUAUUAAAUCAUUCACAAGUACUCACUAAAGGAGAGCUUGAACCUAUGUACUUGUGUAAGCCCUUCACAAUUAAUAAGAACUCCUCUACUCCGUGGACAUAGCCAGUCUGGGUGAAUCACGUGCAUCUUGUGUUUGCUUCUCUGUCUCUAUCCAUUUACAUACUUAUCUGCACUAGUGACCAGAGCAGUCUAGUGAAGGUCACAAACUUGACACUUUCUGUUGUACUAAAAUCCUCGCUGAUUUUGUGCAUCAACAGAGCUAGACACCAUUUGGCACAAAUGAAUGGCACAAAUGAAGAAGGUACCCAGUUUUCUGAUGCUUUCGAUAAAGGAAACGAAAUGAUUAUUUGUCAUUAUGCUAAUUUCUUGUGGAGGAUCAAACGGUUCUUAAACAUCGGAUCAGAAGCAGUGCUGAAGAAGAGUGAAAGUGGUAGAUCAAUUUGUUUAUAACUUAAUAAAAAGCAAAAUUGAAAAACUCCAUAAUUCAUGAGAAGAUCAUGAGAUCCCUAGAGUGAAUUACCUCAAGUCAUCUGACUAGGUCCUGUUUUGUCUUGGAUUAAUGGUUACUAUUUCCCAACAUAUAUAUAUGGAUCAGGAUCCUCUCCUGAGUAAAGGGUGAGGAUUCUCCUGACUAAGCUCAUCAGGCUGUUGAAAUUUUACUCAACGGUUACAAACAGAAGGUCACUCUAAAAAUUAUUAUAAUUGUAGCCAUUAGAUAAAAUUUCAACAGACCGAUGGGCUUGAUCAGGAAGAUCCUUACCCUUGGCUCAAGAGAGGAUCCUGAUCCUAUAUAUAUAAAAGAUCAUGUUCCAUUUUGCAAAUAUUUGCGGUAGGCAAAAAUUAUAUUUGUGAGCGGGGUGAGCUGUAAGCCUUUAAUAACUAUAAAUAUGAAACAACAAUAUAAACGCAUAUGAAGACAAAUUUUUAAAAUGGUCUGUCUCUUUUCUGCUAUUUUUUUAUUAUUCUUGUUAUUACUGCUUCGAAUCGUAAAGAAUAUGAACCUUUGAUUAAAACGUUGAUAUGGUUUUCUGACAAAAUGAUAGAUAUAUACUUGAUAGGGUUUUCUGAUUAAAAUAUAUUUCACCAAGUGGGGUGUGGGGUUCAUGUUUCAGUCAUAAAGGCUGCAUGAAAAAAUAGACGAGAAAACAUUAUUAUUAACCACAUUUACAAUCCUUAAGGUUAGGGUGUUUUUUUUUUUUUUUGGUUCGAAAACGAGAGAUCAUAUUGUGGGGGAACCCCACAAGGAACGCAUAAAGGAGGUAGGACACGCUCCAACCCCCAAGGACAAACCAACUAGAGACAAUAAAAGAAGCCAAAACAGCAGCCAUAGAAAGAGAUAAACUACAGAAUGAUAGAGGGGACUACACAAGAGGCGUGGGAAACGGGUUGUAAAGAGACAGGAAGCGCAUCUCCAGUCCGGGUUAGGUGGUUUUUAGGAGUUAUAUGUUUAGAGUGCUACUAAGCUCACAUCAAUGUCUUAUUUUUCCAUUCAUUUUGAAAUAAUAAUUUAAUUGACAACUUUAUCCUUGUGUAAAAUGACAUUCAAAAACUUAAAAGACCAAUCAAUCAUGUCUUGCCACAUCAUUAGUUAUAUUGACAAAAACCUAAAAUAUCAUAAAUGAGAAAAAGAAAAAGCAUUGGAACAAUUUGGAUACCUGCCAUAUAUUGAAUUUGGAGGAAUCUGAUGUCAGGAAAAAGCCAGAGCAACACCAAAUUAUGAGGGUUGAGGUUUUGGGGGUGCUGGUAUAGUGACGGUUCUGAAAUUAUGGGGCUGCUGGUGAUAUUUGGAGGUUCGUGAUAAUAUAAAUAAUAUCCGAAUAGACGACCUAUGAUUUACUAGAAGAGCAACUUGCCUUUUUUGGGCGAGAGAUUUCCUUUAAGAAAUAGUUGAAUUUUGGCUUUAGCAAAGAAGACUUAGACCUAGUUUGGGAGUGAGGUGCUUAAAAAAAAAGCACACAUGAAAAAAAGCUGUGAGGGUUUUAGGUGUUUGGUAAACUGAAAAAAAAAGGCUUAUUUUGGAAGCUGCUGUGAGAAUAAGCUGAAAUCAAAGGAAAAAGCUGAAGCUGCUAUUUGUAGCUUUGGAAAACUGGCUUUUUUUCAAAGCACUCGAAGCUACAGUGCUUCUUUAAUAAAAAGACCCACUAUUAGACUGCUUUUUUUUCCAAAAGCACUUUUACAAAAAAGUUUACCAAACACUCUGCUGAUUUAUUUCACAGCCGCUUAUUCUCACAGCACAGCCGCUUAUUCUCACAGCAGCUUUUUUUUCAAAGCACAGCAAUACCAAACCAGCCCUUAAUGUUGUGAAGGUAAAGACCCCCGCUCGCAAGUGCCGAGGAGAAGCAGGUAUGGGUGUUCAAAAGCAUGAUAACCCAUAAUCUUUAGCAAUAAUCUUCCACAAAAGCUUUCAUUGUUGAGUUUGCUGCAACAAUGGGGUAAUCUCUGAAAGUAAUUCUUUUGUUGUACACGAUAACUCCAUUAUCUACCUCUACCACCCUCCAGUGGCGAAGCUAGGAUUUGCCGAGGGGAUGGGCGAAAUUCAAAAGAGUGUAAGGUUCAAUUGAAGCGGUUGCUUUCACAUUAGAAAGUGCAAAGUUUUGAGUCAAUAUUCAUAUAAAAAACAGUCUCUUUACCAAAGAGAUUGUAAGCGGUAAAUAUCAAAGUCAUGUAAGAAGCUUAAAUUGGUUAGAAUUAGAUUCUAAAAAACGUUAGGCACUAGUCAGUCAGCGAAAUGGGGCGUAGCAGCUAGGCGCCUAGGCAAGAUUUGGGUAGGAGCCUAGAUGAAUUUAAAUAAAUUUCUUUUAUCGUAAAAUAAGCAUUAAACAAUAUUUAUAUUAUUUUUUUAAACAAUAUUUAUAGAUAAUAUAAAAGUUCAAGAUAGAUACGCUGGGGGUCUUCAAAAGAGGGAGAAAAAUACAUACAAGAAUAAUAAAAGUGGGUCACAAAAAAAUAGACAGGUGCCCUAAUAACAUUAUAACACCCGUCCAUUUAAUAUUUUCCCAAACCUUUUGCUAUGUUGAUAACCAAACACCUCCCUUCUCCUACCAUUACCCUUACCAUGGUAAAUCUGCAAAAUCGAAGCCCUUCAUCAAUACCAUCGCAACCUUCUCCUCCAACAUCCCUCCUUCGUCGAAUUCACCCUCAUUCCCUCCACUCAACCUUCUCGUCCAACAUCCCUCCUCCAUCGGAAUAACAUUGUUUAAACUAAUCGAGUAUAAUUUUCAUGUGUUGCAUAUUCCUAAUUUCUACUCAUUUAAUUAUUAAAACAAAAAUUCAUAUCAAUUAAUGGAGCUAAAAAUAUAAAAAAAAUAAAAUUAAGAAAUGAAGUGGUGGUUGAGAGGAGGAGGUGGACAUGCGGUGUGGCAUGGUCAGAUGGAGUUAGAAAGAAAAAGGAAACUGGGGAGAGUAAAAAGGGAUUGGGCAUUAGGAUUACCUAUUAGGGUCUCUUAUAUAAAAUAUUAAAAUGGGAAUUGGGUGAAUGCCAAAGAUUGAAAAAGAAAAGGAGGACAGUGGACACGGUCUGAGACUGAGAGGGGAAUGAGGGACACGCGGUCCCCCCUAUUUAUAUAUAUUUAUUUUUUCCAAACAUAUACAAAACGGUUUCGUUUUCGUUUUAGCCUGGAUGUUUGAAAAAAGAGAAAGGAUUCACCUCUGCUGCGCAGCAGCAUAACCACUGCACCGGAACAGAGAGGGGAUGAACCAGUCCAGUUUUCCGACAAGGGGAGGGGCUGAACCUUUGCUCCAGGCGUGUUUUCCGGCCAGGGGAGUGGCGGCCGCCACUCCUCGCCCUCACGUGGCUUCGCCCUCUGUUUAAUGAUAUAUAUUUUUUAAUUAUGAUUUUUUUUUUAAAUUAUGAUAAUUUUUUAAAGCAAAGGAAAAAUUAAAGAAUAAAUAUAUUAUUUUGGGAAUAAUGGUGGGUGGGAAAAUAGUUUAUAUGUUUUUCUACUUUUCGUGGUGGGUGUACAUAUAAGGUGGGUGAAGAAAUAAGACACUGGGUGGGCAUAUCACCACCCUUUGUUUAAGGUUAUAAAUUAUUCUUUACAUUGAUUACGUCAAUCAACAAUUUAUUGCCUCAACUGAUAGGUCAAUGAAAGCUCUAAAAAGUUGAGUUACUUCUUUUAUAUAUAUUUUAGAAACUUCAGCGGUACGAGGAAAUCUUAUUGAUAUGAAAAAAAAAAAGUUACACCUAGUCAGAAGGACUAUAAACCUUAUCCCUCAUAAAACAAGAAAACCAACAUACAAGAAAAGAGAGGGACAUAAACCUUACCCUUCUUGAAAAAGAAAAUAUAGGAAAAGAGGGGGGAUAUAACCUUAUCCCUCAUAACACAAGAAAACCAAAAUACAAGAAAAGAGAGGGACAUAAACCUUACCCUUAUUGAAAAAGAAAAUAUAGGAAAAGAGGGGGGAUAUAACCUUAUCCCUUUUGAAAAAAAAAAAUACAAGUAAUAGAAGGGGACAUAGAGUCAAUCCCAACUAAAAUAAAGCUUAAAAGUUACCUGCAAGAUAAACUGCAAAACAGAAAGGAAAACCCAAAAAGAUUAGGUAAAAAAGAAAAUCACACAUCAAGAAGAAGAGAUAAAUCUGUAAGCCGACAUGCAUGCCUAAGAAAUCUGAAUGCAGAAAAGGAAGAAUUUUUACAGGAGGAGUUGCAUGCGAAACAAGAGAAGACAAGAGAUAGGGAUAAUAGAUCUAAUACCAGACCAUAUAGAAGACCGUUUGUAACAAGUAGAGUAUAAAGGACCAUGAAGCUGAAAGCUCCCUCGAAAAUAAACACUCCAUAAAGAAUCAGAAGUAAUAACAACCCAUCCAAGCUUUAAAAGAGCCACAAUAUUUAGAGAGCAAAGAUCUAUUGGAAGUAUGCCCACAAAGCAACUCAUUUGAUGUAAUAGCUUUUGGAAUACUUAUUGUGUUAAACUAUUAUAUGUUUAAUGAAAGGCAAAGCUUAUUGUUAAUCACUAUUUAUUGUAUUAUGUGUUUAAGCAAUAAGGGAAUCCAAGGAUUGUAUUUAAUCUAAGAGAGAAGUGAUCUAAGUAAGUUAGAUUAACGAGACAUUUCUCUUAUGUUCAUUCCUAAAACGUUUCUAGCCAUAGGAUUGCCAAUUAGGCAUUGACAAUCCGCUAAGGUUAGUAUGUGUUAUGUUAAUUCAAGCGCGAGUAUAACUAGUCUCAAGUCAUUUAGUGUUGGACACUGAGGCAAACACAUAGGUGCUCAAAAUGGUAAUCGAGUACACUGAACUACGAUCAAAAGAAAGUUUGAACAUACAUGUCAUGUAAGAACUCGUAAGUUGUAAUAUGUAAAAUAGUCCUUUGACUUGAGGCAUCAUAGAUGUCUAAUGGUUAGGUCCUUGAUCUUUGAUUAUGUCAAAGACAUUCCAUCGAGAGUGUCCAUGACAUUGUUGGGGUCAAGCUAUCUAAGUAACAAGUUCCUAGAUUAUCUCAAAGAGUGUAGAAUAAUAUCAUAAUGGACUAUACCGGAAACUACACAACUUAAUGGAGUUUCUAAAAUGAGAAAUCGAACCUUGAUGAACAUGGUUCAUUCUAUGAUGAGUUCUAUCGAUCAACUAUUAACAUUCUGGGGAUACGCUCUAUGUACAGCAGCUUACUUGCUUAAUAGAGUAUCUUGCAAGUCAGUUUCACAGGUGCCCUAUGAGAUAUGGCAUGGCAGAAAGCCAAGUUUUAAUCAUAUUAAGAUUUGGGGUUGUGAAGCAUAUGUCAAGAAGUUUGAAGCUACUACGCUUGAAGCGAGAUCAAUUAGGUGCUAUUUUGUGAGAUAUGCUUUAGAAAAUAUGGGAUAUGAGUUCUACCAUCCUGACGACUAGAAAGUCUUUGUUGCCAGAAUUGCUAAGUUUCUAAAUGACGAUUUUGUUCUCAAAUGAACUAUAAGUAAAACGAUGGAAAUUAAUGAGAUUAAUGAUGAACCAUAAACAAGCACUCGACAAGUUGACAACCAUGUUCCUGAACCUCAAGCUCCAAGAAGAUCUGAAAUGGUCAUCAAGCCACCUCAAAGGUAUGGUAUGAAUGACAACUUUGGAGAAUUGCACCUUCUAGGUGACAAUGACACAAAUAAGGACCCUAGAGAUUACACUAAAGUAAUGUCCAAUAUUGAUUCAAAGAGAUGGCAAGAGGCCAUGAAAUCUGAGAUGGAUUCCAUGUAUCAAAAUCAGGUAUGGACUCUAGUAGACCCUCCAUAAGGUAUAGUACCUAUUGGAAACAAAUAGGUCUUCAAGAGGAAGAUAGGCGCUGAUGGGAACAUGGAGACUUAUAAGGCUAAACUAGUAGCCAAGGGUUACAGGCAAUGAGAAGGGAUUGACUAUGAAGAAACCUUCUCUCAUGUAGCCAUGAUUAAGUCCAUUCGGAUUCUGCUUAUUAUAGCUACAUACCAUGAUUAUGAGAUAUGGCAAAUGGAGUGAAGAUAACAUUUCUGAAUGGCUACCUAGAGGAAGAGCUCUAUAUGACUCAACCCGAAGGUUUCGUGUCCAAGUCUGAAAAGACUAAGGUAUGCAAGCUUAAAAGGUCCAUUUAUGGACUUAAGCAAGCCUCCAAGAGCUGGAACAUUCGUUUUGACAUUGAAAUCAAAUUGUUUGCUUUUACUCAUAAUAAAGACAACAAUUGUGUUUAUCAAAAGGUCGUUGGGGAUGCAGCAGUAUUCCUAGUGCUAUAUGUAUAUGACAUAUUACUAUUCGGGAAUGACACUGCAGUGCUAUCUUCUGUAAAAGUAUGGUUGUCCAAAACCUUCCAUAUGAAAGAUUUGGGAGAUGCAUCUUAUGUAUUGGGGAUAAAGCUCUAUCGUAAUAGAUCCAGAAAAUUAAUUGGAUUAUCCCAAUCUAUGUACAUAGAUAGGGUGCUAAGUAGGUUCCAAAUGAAACAAUCUAAGAAAUGUAUUCUUCCUGUGAGACAUGGAAUUCACCUUUCUAAGUCCAUGGGUCGAAAACGCCUGAAGAGAUACGGCAGAUGAGUAGGACUCCUUAUGCUUCUGCGAUAAGAAGUUUCAUGUAUGUCAUGAUAUGUACAAGGCCUGAUAUCGCUUAUGUUGUGAGCAUUACUAGUCGAUAUCAAUCUAACCCAGGAUCAGAACAUUGGGCAACUAUCAAGACGAUCCUUAAGUACUUAAGAAGAACUAUGGAUAUGCUCCUCGUUUAUGGAGGAGAAUCAGAGUUGCGAGUGGAAGGCUAUACUGACUCAGAUUUUCAAUCUGAUGUCGAUGAUAGAAGUUCCAACUCUGGAUAUGUAUUCACUUUAAAUGGUGGGGUUGUCAUCUGGAAGAGUAAGAAACAAAAAGUAAUUGUUGAUUCCACGACGGAGGCAGAAUAUGUCGUUGCAACUAAAGCCAGCAAAGAAGCAUUAUGGAUGAAGAAAUUCAUCACUAAACUUGGAGUGGUUCCAACCAUUACAUUACCAAUAACUUUGUACUGUGAUAAUAGUAGGGCGAUAGCUCAAGCUAAGGAAUCUAGAGCUUAUUAAAAGAACAAGCAUUUUGAUAAACGCUUCAAUAUCAUUAGACGAUAUGCCGCCGAAGGGAAAGUCAACAUCCUCAAGGUUGCCUUAGCCGAUAACAUAGCAGAUCCACUGACAAAGCCAAUGUCUCAAAUCCAACUUAACCGUCAUAUGGACAAGAUGGGUGUUAGAUACAUGGAAAGGUGGCUUUGAGUGCAAGUGGGAAAUUUUUGGAAGUAUGCCCACAAAGCCACUCAUUUGAUGUAAUAGCUUUUAGAAUACUUAUUAUGUUAAACUAUUAUAUGUUUAAUGAAGAGCAAAGCUUAUUGUUAAUCACUAUUUAUUGUAUUAUGUAUUUAAGCAAUAAGGGAAUCCAAGGAAUGUAUUUAAUCUAAGAGAGAAGUGAUCUAAGUAAGUUAGAUUCACGAGACUUUUCUCUUGUGUUCAUUCCUAAAACGUUCAUAGCCAUAGGAUUGCCAAUUAGGCAUUGACAAUCCGCUAAGGUUAGUAUGUGUUAUAUUAAUUCAAGCGUGAGUAUGACUAGUCAAGUCAUUUAGUGUUGGACAUUGAGACAAACACAUAGGUGCUCAAAAUGGUAAUCGAGUACACUGAACUACGAUCAAAAGAGAGUUCAAACAUACAUGUCAUGUAAGAACUCGUAAGUUGCAAUAUGCAAAUUAGUCAUUUGACUUGAGACAUCAUAGAUGUCUAAUGGUUAGGUCCUUGAUCUUUGAUCAUGUCAAAGGCAUUCCAUUGAGAGUGUCCACGACAUUGUUGGGGUCAAGUUAUCUAGUCAUGUAGGCAUAUGAAUGCACAACAAGGGAUCUCUAACCUUUCAUGGUAGAGGGAUAAUACUCUGAGAUAUGAUUCAGGAGUCUUUGGCCAAAACAUACGAAUAUAACUUAGAAAGCUAUUCCCAAAUCAUAUUCAAUUGAAUCAUAUAGAAAAGUAUCACAUUGGAUAGUAGACAUGAAACAAACUAUCACUCAAACAAUGUGAUUAAAAGUAUUGUAUUAGAGAAUGACCGUAUUGCAUUGUAAUUGUAACUGGAUAGGUUCUCCAACCACUUCUACUUAGCCUGGGUAGCCAUGACAUACUGCUAGGUGUCACUCAUGAUUUGUGGAAUCCCUGAAGAUUAGCAAACACUAAUCUUCAUUAAAGGGAGAAUUGAAAUGUAGUUUCAAUUCACAAUCAAUCGUUAAGAGUAACAAUCGCCUACUGCCUCGCUAAUUGGAACCUAAUGGAUCGUACAUCGAGUAAGGAUAAAAGUGAAGAAAUAAAAAUGAGAUGGAUAAGCAAUUAAAUGGUUUAAUUGAGAAUGGUCAAGAUUAAUUAAUUAUACGAAAGGUUCGUAUUGCGCUUUCAAGUUCAUUUCGGGUCUCGGGGCCCAAAAGGGUUUUGGUCCACAAGGCCCAUUGAGUUUAAGUUGUGUGACAACUAAAACUAAAUAGAAAUUAACCCAAAGACAAAGUCAAAACCAGCCAUAGGGUGAAUGGUAGCAAACUUGGGUUAAUUGCAAGUUUGCCACUCACAUGUGAGGUGGUAUAAAGGCAUCUUUAUAGCCAUUCUCUCACUAGGGUUUUCUUGAGGCAAAGAAGAGAAAUUUUUUCUCCCUUUUUUUCUCAAUAAAGGCCGGCCUUCCUAGGGGAGUUCACUAGCAUCCAACUUCCUCUAGGUAAUCCAUUUUAUCUUCACACCAUCAUCCUUGGUGUGGAGAAUUAGAGGUACCAAACUUUUGGUAUCUUUGGAGUUCCUUUCCUCAUAUCCUCAAGGAGCAAAGGAGCAUCAAAAGGGAAGAAAAUCACAAGGAAGAUCUGAGGAGCUAGGAGGUGACUUGAAGGCCCUUCAUUUGGUUGAAGACCUUGUGUAAACAAGGAUGAGCUUCAAGGGUAAUGAAUCUCAAAAUCCUGUCUUCUCUUUAAUGUUGUUAAAGAGUCUUGUGGUUCACCAUUCGCCAGGCUUUGAAAGUCAUGGGUUUUAGAAUUAUUUUUUAAUGUUUGCCUACUUUAAAGUGUUGUUAGUUUGCUUAUGUGUUCAAAUGUUUUCACAUGUUCUUAACUAGGACAAAUAAUUCCCUUCAAGAUCACACAAUCCUAUAUCACCCUUAUUUUUUUGUGCACAAAUCUGAGACCAAGAAACUGUGACAAUUUUCUUUGAAGUCACGUCAGCUGACUAUAUAAAAUUGUGAGCACAUCGCGAAAGAGACCUCAGCAAGGAAGAAGGUCACUGAUAAACAGAGAUAAUAUGCAAAAGCAUAGAUUGAAUAAGCUAAACUUUUCCUGCCAUUGUUAAAAGUUUUCCUUUCCAACCUGUUAACUUAGCUUUAGCUUUAUCUGCCAAGGCCUAAAGAUGACACCUCAUAUGCUUGCCAUGAAAAAUUGGAACUCCUAAAUAAACAAAUGGUACUUUACCUUCUUAGAACCCCAAGUAUCACUCGACUACAACUUUGCGAUGCUUUGAAGUAAAGCCCAAAUAGAAAGUACUUUUGUCCUUAUUGAUAUAUUGACCAGAGGCCCUACUGUAUCUGUCUACGAAACCUUGCAAAUUACACAAAGUGACGACAUCACUUCUGCAAAAAAAUGAAAAUAUCGUUUGCAUAAAGUACAUGAGAAAGAGAAAUACAACCUCCUGGAGCAAAAAUUGGUUUAGUAAGCCUAUCAAGUUGGAGCCAACUCAGACCCUUGGAUAGAGCUUCCUCAGCUAGGCAGAAAAGCAAUGGAGAGAGAUGAUCCCUUUGUUGCACUCCUCGAGAACAAAAGAAAAAUCCAUGCAGGGAACCAUUGAUUAAGAUGGACAAUUUAGCUGAUCUCAAGAUAGUAGAAACCCAGUCCACAAAACAAGUGGAGAAAUCAAAAUUAGUAAGCACCCGUAAUAGGAAGGACCAAUUUAAGGUAUCAAAAGCCUUAGCUGUAUCAACUUUAACUCCAACAUUAGCACCGCAAGAUUUUUUGUCACGCACAUUGAAGCAUUUUGAAACUAGGCCAAUAUGGUGAAAGAAAUGGCAUUUCAUGUGCUUAUAAAAAGUUUGGCUACUCAUUUCAACUUCUUUCAUUGUAUUAUAGAGCAGAUUAACCCAUGUAGAAAGCCCAACGAGCACACACUCUCCGUGUCAUCCACUUUGUUUUAUUCACGUGUCAGACUUGAAAUUUCGUCACAUGUGAGAUGACAUGUUCAAAAUGAAUACACCGGAGAAAGAAGAGACGUGACAUAUGCUUUUAAAGAGUUAGGCUGCUCCCAUAUUACCAAUUUGUUUAACGAUGAAACCUUAACUUAUUUCAAUAUUGAUUUAACUAUAGUGUGAGACAAAAAAUUUCAUUGAUUUUAGUUGAAGAGGAUAACUAUUUUAAUUGACAUGUGAUUAGAAAUAAAAUAUCUGAAAUAUAAAAUGAUUUAUUGACCAUAAAUUAAAUUUUUAUUUUAAAAAUGACAGUGUUGUAAUUUUCUCACAUCACACUUAAGUUCUUAUAAAAUGGAUUUGAAUCCUCUACUUUGUUUUUCUCAGGUAAGAUAUAUGUACAUUGUGUUGACAACAUUAUGCAUAAGUCCUAUAGGAAAACAAUCUUAUGACACUUGCUGGACGAAUGUGAAUGCAAGAACGUACGGGAGAGGGCUUGAACAAGGUCAUUACCCAAAUCAGAGUCUCUAAUUUUUACACAAGAUGAGUAUUCUUUGUACGUCGGUUGUCUCCUCCAUUAUUCUUCCCUACUAUUUACUAAUUUUGAAUAGGAAAAAAUUAUGAACCUCAUAUUAAAAUCUGGAUAGGGUUGUUCCGACAAAAUGCUAGAAAUAUGGUCGUUGUUUAUUCAAACUGAAUGAAUAAAUGAUUACCUUUUCGAUUACAUUUAAUAAUUAAAAAAAUAUCUCAUAAGUGCUAUCUGGUAUGGGUAUAAGAUCAUCUCCAACCGAAGGGUCCAGAGGGUCGAAAAUAGCCCAAAAAUCGUCUCCAAUCGAGGGCUAGGCCAAAGGACUCGUAGGCCCCACUGGACAAAAAAGGGCCAAAAGGCUAACCGGCUGGCCCAACUCAGCCAGCUAGCCAGCCUCGGGCUGGCCAAAAAUUUCAUUAUUCCUGUCGGUUAGGCCAUCUCUAACCGAAAGUUGGCCAGAUGGCUCGUUUUAGCCCUCUGGCCCUCCAAGAAAUUAAUAUUUUAAUGAACAGUAUAGGAUCAUAUUUGCCUCCAUCUCCAACCGAGGGCUAAAGGGUCAUAGGGCUCGUUUUAGCCUUAUCACAAAAAAUCGUCUCCAACCGAGGGCCAAAAGGCCAAACAUAAUUUAUUUUUAAAAAACUACAACUUAAAUUCAAAUCCAACGGCUAAGUGACAUCAGCUAGCCGUUGGAUUUGAAUUUUUAUUUUUAUUUUUUGCUAUAAAUAAGGUGGAUAUUGGGCUAUAAUUCACACAACUUUGAAUUCAAUCUAUUUCAAUUCAAGUUUGCAAUGAAUUCCAACUUUGGAUCAUCUUCAGAUUAUAACUGGGGGUCCUCAUCCAAUUCCAAAUUGGAAGAAAAAUGGGUGCAAAUGAGACGAGAAGAUGAGGAGUCUGAUGAAGAAGUUCAAGUAAGGCGCAACAAACAAAAUAGAGCAGCAGCCAUAACUGUGGCCAUGGUGUGUCAGCCAACUGAGGAACAACCUCAAUGGGGUGGCUUUGUUGUUGGUUACUCUUACAAACCACAAAACAGAGCGAUGACGCAUGCCAAUCUGAUGAACAACUACUUCAAACUCAACUCGGUGUACACAGAAAAGGAUUUCAGACAACGCUUCCAAAUGAGGCGUCAUGUCUUCAAGCGUUUACUUCGUGAUAUCCAGCAGGUCAAUCCAUACUUUCGACAGAAGCGAGACAGAGCAGGCCGCCCUGGUUUCUCACCUCAUCAGAAGGUUACUGUUGCACUCCGAAUGAUGGCCUAUGGCUCCCCAGUUAAUUCGAUGGAUGAAACCCAUGAUAUGUUUGAGUCUACAUGCCUUGAUACUCUUAAACAAUUAUGUGACAUAAUUGUUCAUGUUUACAAAGACUAGUACCUCCGUGAGCCAAAUCAAGAAGAUCUAAAUCAGCUCAUUCGCAAAGCUAAAGACCAUGGGUUUCCGAGCAUGAAAGGGUUAUUAGACUGCAUGCAUUAGGAUUGGAAGAACUGUCCCACCAUAUGGCAAUGAGGCUUAUGCGAAAGGUCGAGAAAGCCAACUGUUGUGUUAGAGGCGGUUGCCUCAUAUGACACAUGAAUCUGACAUGCUUUUUUUGGAGUCCCUGGAUCCCAAAAUGACAUUACAGUUCUUGGGCGUUCACCCCUCUUCAAUCACCUGACGGAAGGUAAAGCACCUUAACUUGACUACUACAUCAACGACCGUCCAUACAAUAUGGAGUAUUACUUGGUAGAUGGCAUCUACCCAAAGUGGGCGACACUUGUCCAAGCAAUUCCAAACCCAAGGAAUGACGAGGAAAAGUUGUUUACCUUACACCAAGAGGCAUACCGGAAAGAUGUUAAGAGAGCUUUCGGCAUUCUACAAGCACGGUAGAAGAUCAUCAGCGAACUGACAAGAGGGUGGAGUCGAGAAAAUUUGGACUCCAUCAUGAUGUCUUGCAUCAUAUUACACAAUAUGAUAAUGGAGGAUGAGUGAGAUGGGUAUAUUGAUGGAGAGUCCGAUGAUGACCAAGAAGAUCCAAAUAUGUCAAGAAGGGCUCGUGCAAAAAUAUAUGAUGGGCCUAAUUUGCCUUUCAAUCCAAGAACUGGUAGUAUUUCUAUAAAUGAGUACAUGAGGUGCUAUAGAAUGAUACGUUCCCGUGCCACAAACAAGUACCUACAACAGGAUCUUGUUGCACAUCUUUGGGCCAAAAAUAGCAUGGAGUAGGCAUUUAAGUUUUAUGUUGUAUAAUUAUUAUGUUUGUUAAUGUUAUUUAAUGUUGUUUUAUGUUGCUUAAUUUAAUUUAACGUUGUAUAAUGACUUAGGAAGUUAUAGGAAAAAAAUAGAAUUUAAAAAAUAUAUGAAACAAAUUUUGUAAAAUUGAAGUUAUAGGAAAAAUAUAUAAUUAAAAAAAAUAUGAAACAAAUUUUGUAAAAUAGAAGUUAUAGAAAAAAUAUAAAACAAAUUUUAAGUUAUAGAAAAAAAAUAGAAGUUAUAGGAAAAAAAUUGUGUAAAAAAAAAAUAACGGCUAGCUGACGUCCGCUAACCGUUGCAUUUGAAAUUUGGCCUAAAACUCCUGUCGGUUAUAUCCGACAGGAAGGCUAGAAUUUCUGGCCCAACCAAGGGCUGGCUGGAUUGGGCUAGCCAAUUGGCCUUUUGGCCCCUUUCAAAUUCUGUGGGAGCCACGAGCCAUCUGGCUUAGCCUUAGUUUGGAGACGGUUUUUAGGCUAUUUUCGGCCCCGUGGGAGCCACGAGCCCUCUGGCCUAGCCCUUGUUUGGAGACGAUUUUUGGGUUAUUUUCGGCUCUCUGGCCCUAUGGACCAUUCAGUUGGAGAUGGCCUUAUAUCCGAUAGCAUUGUACUUAUUCCUGUCGGUUAUAUCUGACAGGAAUAGUAGGUCUUUUUUUUUUUUUUUAACAAAAUUAAAUUAUUUUUUUUUAAUUCUAUGUUUUUCUUAUAACUUCCUAAGUCAUUAUACAACAUUAAAUUAAAUUAAGUAACAUUAAACAAUAUGAAACAACAUUAAAUUUUAAUAAUAAAUUAUGUAUGACCCUUGGUUGGAUAUGUAGGCAAAUAUAGUUUUGCACUGUUCAUUAAAAUAUUAAUAUCUUGGAGGGCCAGAAGGCUAAAAUGACCCUCAUUCCGUUGGAAAUGGUCUAAGGUUUUGAGGAGGUGAAGCUGUCACUUGUCUCUCGUCCGUCACCGGCCCUGCUUUCCAUUAAAUGAGCCGAUCUUCUCUAUAUUAUAUAUAGGUAAUACAAAGUGUUUCUGGAGGUACGUUCUUCACCAUCCUACCGAGUACCAUGGAUGUUCUUUCCUUUCGUUUUCCUCCUCCCAUUGCAAUAAGUUUAGCGGUAGUAAUUUUAACUGUGCUUGUGAUAAGAUUCCGUGCUAGAAGGUUGGGUGCUGAGAAAAAAAAGAGAUACCAUCCUGUCGUCACAAAUUUCUUGAACACACUCAUCAACUUCCCUAGGCUGCACCAUUAUAUGACCGAGUUUGAACACAAACACAAAAGUUACAGGGCUUAUAAUGUGAUCAUAGAUUACAUUAUCACCACGGAUCCUGCAAAUGUUGAAUACAUCCUCAAAACAAACUUUGCAAACUAUGGCAAGGUAUGCUGUCUCUGACUAGUUAAAUGAGAAGUUCAUGAUAUUAUAAAAUUUCAAAAGUAUUUUUUUGAUUCUUUGUCGCGUGUAUAUUUGAAGGGUGAACAUCUUAAUGAUUUUAUAAGGAUAAUAUUUAUGUUAAUCACCAUAGUUAUCUAAUAACAGAAGUUCCAAUUCCUGAGCUGCUGCAGGGUUGGUACCAUUCCGGCGUGCUGUCAGAUGUUUUAGGAGACGGGAUUUUUGCUGUGGACGGAGAAAAAUGGUUGCAUCAAAGAAAGGUAGCGGGCAAUGAAUUAACCACCAAAGUUUUGAAAGACUUCAGCAGUACAGUCUUCAAAACCAAUGCAGUAAAACUGGCCCGGAUAAUUUCUGAAGCUGCAACCUGCAACAAAGCAGUUGAGAUCCAAGUAAGCUUGCCAUGUAGAAUUAGUUCCUUAUAUAUUUAGCAUGAUUAGUAUUAGUUCCUUAUAUAUAUUAGGAGUUUCAGAAGGAGAUCCCACGGCACAAUAGCAAACACAUGUUUAGUUAUCACCAAAACCUGGAGUACUAUGCAAUGAGGAUUAAAUAAUUGGAACCGUUUAGUUUUUAGAUCUCCAUCCAAGAAUCAACCUUGUAAAUUAAAAUCAUUAGAAUCCAAAUAGUUUGAUUUGAUUAUAUUUAUAAACAUUGUCUUUUAAAACAUUGCAUUCGUCUAUUUAUGGACUAAUGAUUUUGAGAUGUGGUUAAUUUGUAAAGAUAAUUAUCUUUGAAUGAGGUUCCUAAUUCCUGUACAUAAAUACAACACACACACACACACACGCACAUAUAUAUAUAUAUAUAUAUAUAUAUAUAUAUAUAUAUAUAUAUAUUGAAUUCUUGGCGUAUAUAUAUUGAAUUCUUGGCGUUUUCUUUUUGGAACGAAGGAAUUGUUUAUGAAAGCAACCUUAGACGCCAUCGUCAAGAUUCUGCUUGGAAUUGAACUAGACACUAUGUACGGAACAAAUGAAGAAGGUAUUCAGUUUGCCCAUGCUUUUGAUGUAGCAAACGAAAUGACCAUCUAUCGUUAUGUUGAUUUCUCCUGGAAGAUCAGAAGGUUCUUAAACAUUGGAUCAGAAGCACUGCUAAGGAAGAAUGUCCAAUUGAUAGAUCAAUUUAUUUAUAACUUAAUCAAAAGAAAGAUUGAAACAGAUACUUCAUCAGAAGAUGAGCUACUGGCAGUGAGUAUUUAACCUUCCACUCCAUGAACUGUUAUAUUAAUUCCAAAAUGAAUAAUAAAUUUAGUAUGAGUAGUAUUAUUGUAAAAUAAAUAAUAAAGUUAAUAGUGUGGAUGACUGGCAAUAUUGGCAGUUAAAGAAGGGAGACAUCAUUUCAAGGCUUUUGAAAUCUCCAGAUGCCGAUCCAAAGUACUUGAGAGACUUGAUCCUUUGUCUCAUUGCUGCCGGAAGAGACACAACGGCGAGCACUCUUACGUGGUUUAUUUAUAUGCUAUGCAAGCAUCCUCAUAUACAAGAAAAGGUUGCAAAGGAAGUUAGAGAGGCAACAAAUCUGAAAGACAGUUCACGCAUUGAUGAGGCUGUUGCCACCCUUACUGAAGAAGCUCUUGAAAAAAUGCAAUAUCUACAUGCAGCUUUGUCUGAGACACUCAGGCUGUACCCUUCAGUUCCACUGGUAAUUAAGUACUUAUUAUCUAAAAUUAAAUGCAUGCACAAAUACAUCAAACAUUUCAUCAAUUUUCUGUAUUUGAAUCGUUGCGUGUUACUUUUUAAAUAUUUAACAAUUUACUUUGUGCGAUGCACGCUGUCAUAUAUAGAAUGCAAAAAUUUGUUUAGCUGAUGAUACUUGGCCAGAUGGAUUUAGUGUGAAAAAAGGGGAUUUUGUGGGAUUCCAUGUUUACGGAAUGGGCAGGAUGAAAUAUCUAUGGGGUGAUGAUGCAGAAGAAUUUCGACCAGAGAGAUGGCUAGACAAAAAUGGCCUUUUCCAGCAAGAAAGCCCCUUCAAAUUUACAGCUUUUAAUGUAUGUAAGAAAUUACAUGCAUGUUGAUUAAUGAAAAAAUAUGCACAAAGGAUGAGAUUAUUUCUGAAGAAUUUUGAUAUAUAUAUGUCAUUCACGUAUACAGGCUGGGCCAAGAAUUUGUAUAGGAAGGGACUUUGCCUAUAGGCAGACAAAGAUCAUGUGUGCCACACUUGUAGGAUGCUUCAAAUUCAAGCUGAGUGACGAGAAGUGGGUGGCUCAUUACUUGACCAAGAUCUCCCUCCAUAUCGACGGGGGACUUUAUGUGCAUGCCUCUCCAAGGCCUUAAACAGAUGCCUCCUUUCCACCCCCAUGCAGUUUGCUUAAUAUAUAAUUAUCAGAAUAUAUACUACUGUAUUAGAUAAUAAAAGAAGAGUUACUAAAAUGAAGCCUUCUUUACGUAUUCGAUCAUAAUCAUGUAUGUCCUAUGAUAAUAUAUAUUCAAUCGUUGUGUCAGAAUAAAUAUAUAUAUAUAUAUAUAUAUAUAUAUAUAUAUAUGUAGUGCUGGUUACAUUAAAAUAAGUAACUUUGGUUGUAAAACAUUAAGUUUGAUUUGCAAUAUAAGAUAUUUUUGUUUCCAUUUAAAUUCUGAAUUAUUGGGUAUUUGUAAACAAAAAGAAAAAAAUAAUAAUGAUCAUCUUACUGUAGGAAAUUUAGUUUUCUAGCAAUAGGAAUAGCAUGGCGAGUGAUGUUUUCCUCGCUGAUUUCCCUUAAAAUUUUCAGGUUUUUCCUAUUCUCGCUAUAUCCUAUGGGGAAACAGAUUAUAGCGAGAAAUGGGAACUUUGAGGGAGGAAACGUUUUGCUACUAAAUGGUCAACCAAACAUAUUUCUUCGCGGUAGGCUUUCCCCGGGGGCCUACGACCUCGUGAGGAAUUGUUUAAACGCUGAACCAUUUGUACGACAAUUUUGGAAUUAUUAGAACGAAUUUUGUGUUCGCUAAAAGGUGUUUUUUUGUAAGGCUUAGAACACUCUUUUAUCUUUUAAUGUAAAUAAUAUCGUUUAUUAAAAAAAAAUUAUUUAAAAGAGGAGAUAAAGGGCCAAGACCUUUCACUCUUCUACAUAAAGUUAUACCUACCACUCCUUCAAAUCUUCUCUCAAACUCAUACUUCUCUUUUCUUUUUCUUUUUUUCCCGUCAUUUCUCUUGUGAUCGGUCCUUUUGAUAGAAAUAGGGUUCUCCAUUGAUUUUUUUUGUGCUGUUAAAAUUAGCCUACUUCUUUUACGAUCAUCGUCUUUUGCAUUCUUUCAUGAUAUAACAAUAUAAGUGUAAACACAAAAAUUCUGUGACAAAUGAAACAAGAACACGUGUACCAAAUAAUUGUUAUUGUAUUAAUGUAAAUGUAGAGUUACAAUCUCUGUUUACAAAGUUCCUCUGAUUCGAUCUCUGAAGAUGUGUAGAUAUGACUUGUUGAUCCGAGGGUCAUGAUGACUUGAUAUCAGAUGCACGAUUGCCGUAAGGAUUUAGCUUGUGGUGAUUAAAGAACAGGCACGGGUAGUAGUGCUUCUUGAUGAAAUCAAAUAAUUCAUUUGACGAAAAUGAAUUAUUUGAUUAAAUUAAAUAAAAUCAAAUAAUUCAUUUUCGUCAAAUGCUGACACGUGUCAUUCUUGAUGACUCGUCCAAUUUCGAUGAGUCACAUCUAUGUGUACAAUUUGUGAAAUACAUGGUGCAUGCCACAUUUGUCCUGGCAUGUCAAAACUUUAAUGUUUUGGAAAUAUACAUGUGAAGGUUUUCUCAGGACUCUCCUAAUGUUUGGUACGCGUCUUUUUUGUGCUUACUAAAAGUUUGAUGUAAUACAUGCGAGGGAUAUCUCGACAUAUUGCGUUGAUAGUACUUGACAAGUUUUCUAUAUCACUCAUUAGAUUACUUCGGCAUAUACCGAUAUUUGUUGACAUAUCCCACUAAGUUAAUAAACUUUUUUUUUCUUUUUUUUUUUUGCACUUCGUGCCCUGUUCUUAUCUUAAAAACUUUUUUUUGACACUAGGAACCCCAAGUUCAAAUCUUGGGCCCGCCGCUGCUUCCCUUUUUUUAUUCAGAAAAAGCAUGUUAACACGACAAUGGCCUCGCGCCCAAUUUUAGAACUCUCUGUAUUUAGAGAGGAUGAUUGAAACCCAAAUGGCAAGUGUUAGGAGCACACUACUACAUUUGCUCCAUGAAUGCAAGAACAUGAGAGAGCUUAAACAAAUCCAUACCCAAAUCAUAAAGUCUCCACUUUUACCCAAAGAUGACCAAAAUUUUCUCAUUACUCGUCUCCUUUUCUUCUCGGCCAUUUCUGAUUCGGGUUCUCAUGGCUACGCCAUCGAUGUUUUUCGAGCCAUAGAGAACCCGAAUCUCUACGUGUAUAACGUCAUGAUCAGAACAUAUGCGUGUAGAAAGAUCGGCGGCAGGGAUGAAGCUCUUUCUUUUGGGUCCUUGUUGCUGUAUAAGCAGAUGCUCUGUGAUGGGAUUUCGCCGAAUUGUCUCACUUUUCCGUUCCUUGUGAAAGAAUGCACGAGCAGGGUUGAUGGCAGCGCAGGAAGGAGCAUCCAUGGUCAAGCCGUUAAGUAUGGGUUGGACAGUGAUGUUUUUGUUCAGAAUUCUUUGAUGAGUAUGUAUUCUGAGUGCGGGUUUUUUAGUAGUGCACGUAAACUGUUUGAUGAAACGCCGGGGAGGGAUGUUGUCUCUUGGAACUCGAUGAUUAAGGGGUAUUUGAAAAGUGGGAGUCUUGAUGAGGCAUUGAAGCUGUUUCGGAAGAUGAAGAAGAGAAACAUUUUUACUUGGAAUUCCGUGAUCACAGGGUUUGUUCAAGGUGGACGACCAAAGCAGGCCUUGGAACUUUUUCACGAAAUGCAGAUCACCGGUGGUGAUAUUGUUAGACCGGAUAAGAUUACAGUUGCUAGUGUGCUAGCAGCCUGUGCUCAUCUUGGUGCAAUUGAUCAUGGGAUAUGGGUUCAUGGGUAUCUGAGGAGAAGUGGUUUGGACAGUGAUGUGGUUAUCGGGACAGCGCUGGUUGACAUGUAUGGUAAGUGUGGAUUUGUGGACAAAGCAUAUGAGGUAUUCCAGGAAAUGCCGAAGAAGGAUACUCUGGCAUGGACAGCUAUGAUUUCAGUGAUGGCUCUCCAUGGGUUAGGUAAUGAGGCUUUUGGUCUUUUUAAACAGAUGGAAACAGCCGGGGUGAAGCCGAACCAUGUGACAUUUGUUGCGCUAUUUUCAGCUUGUGCUCAUUCUGGUUUUGUAGAGAAAGGUCGCUGGUGUUUUGAUGCAAUGAAGCAUGUUUACUUAAUUGAACCACAGCUCUAUCAUUAUGCUUGCAUGGUUGAUAUACUCAGCCGUGCCGGGCUGAUUGAAGAGGCAGAACAGUGUAUAAGAAGUAUGCCAAUGAAACCAGACACAUUUGUUUGGGGUGCAUUACUUGGAGGCUGUCAAAUACAUGGAAAGGUGGAGUUAGGAGCAAGGGUGGCACAGUAUUUAAUUGAUUUGGAGCCUCUGAACCAUGCUUUUUAUGUGAACUUGUGCGAUAUAUAUGCCAAAGCUUGUAGAUUUAAUGACGUAAAGCGAAUCAAGUCAUUAAUGAAAGAAAGAGGUAUAAAAAAGGAAGUCCCGGGCUGUAGCAUGAUUGAAAUCAAUGGGUUUGUUCUUGAAUUCUCCGUGAGAGGAUCACCAAAUGUCGAAAUGGAGGGAUUAUUGUGGAUCUUGAAUCAGUUGAAUAACGAUAUAUCUAGAGACAAUGACACACGCUUCAGGGAAUCACUGUAAUGAGAGAUGAAAAUUCAGUAUAUCGUGGUCUAUUUGUUUACAAAAGAAGUAUUUCUUACGGAUGAGAAUAAUUUUGCUUAUGGAAUGAACUCAGUUGCUGGAAGAAUUUUCCCGAGGUAUGCUCUAAUAUUCAGGCCUUAAUCACCACGUGAUUCUUACUUUAUUGGCAGGUAGACAAAAUCUGUACUCGAAAUUUGUCCUCAGUUGCUCAUGAAAUUAUUUCAUUGUGUCUUGUUGCCAAGCAAUAGUUAUGGGAUGAGGGCAUGUGCGACAGCAAUUUGGCCAGCCAAUGUGUGUUGUGCUCACCAUGGAAUACAAAGCUUGCAGCCAACUGUCGGAUGCUAUCAUAGGAUGCAAAGACUUAUCGGAUGAAACUUGGUCAGAUGGAUUUAGUGUCAAAAGGGGGGAUGGCUCGACGAAAUAUCUAUUGGGUGAUGAUGCAGAAGUGUUUCGGCCAGAUAGCUGGCUCAACGAAAAUGGCCAUUUGCAUCAAGAAAGCCCUUUCAAAUUCACAGCCUUCCAGGUCGUACCCAGUGCACAAGGCUUCCGCUUUACGCAGGGUUUGGGAGAGGUGAAUGUCGGCUAGCCUUACCCCUAUUUAUGAGGAGGCUGCUCCCAAGUCUCGAACCCGAGACCUACCGCUCAUGGGCGAAGGCACUUGCCAUCGCACCAAGUGCGACCUCUAAAUUCACAGCCUUCCAGGUAAGAAGGAAAAUAUUGAUUGCAUUCACAUCCAUCACACAUCCUUUGAACACAGGAAUGCAAAAUACUAAAGAGAUUUUGUGAUUCUACGCAGGAGAGUCCAAGAAUAUGUAUCCGAAAGAAAUUCAGUUACAGGGAGAUGAAGAUAUUUUCUGCUGUGCGUUUAGACAGCUUCAUAUUCAAGCUAAGUGAUGAGGAGAAGGCAUCAACUGCAGGACGAUGGUCACCCUACACGUUGAUGGGGGCCUUUAUGUGCAUUCUUCUACAAGAUUGGGGUAUUUAGUUUACCGCUUAACUCUACUGUAGGCAGUGUGUUGCUCACUUGCUCCUCAUCAGUGUCAUCACUAUACAAUUUAUGUACAUUUACUUAUGGUAUCAUCAAUGGCAUAACCAAAUGUUUUCCUUCUUUUCUUAUCAAUGGCAUAACCAAAUGUUUUCCUUCUUUUCUUCUAUACUUGCCUUUUAAGAACGUGCCUCAUUCAAGUCUUAGAGAAAAACUUGGGUAGGACACUCCGACCGAAUCAUCACAAAAAGUUAAACACGGAACUUUUUAUCUCAUCAGGUGAAACCUAUCCUUGUAAACGAGCCCUAUCGAAGUUUCUGACUGUAUGUCUAAGAAAGUAAUCAUUACCGAACUCGCAUUCGGUAUUGGAGCUUGCAGGUAAUGUGUCUCCAUCAAUAAUGUCGUCCAAAAUGGAAAAUACAGGCUCCUUUUUUGAAAGUAUUCUGUCCUACUUAACUACUAAUAAUUGAACCUUUGACAAAAAAAAAAAAACCUACUGCUAAUUGACCAAAAAAAACUCAACUACUAACCACAACUUGAGACUUGCGCACAAGCUUUUCUUAUUGUUUUUGGGAAGUGUUAAUUCCAGUUUGGUACUGAGAUGUUUUUAUAAAAAAAGUGGGUAUAAAAAAAAUUGAGCUCAAAAAAAUGUUUGGUAAACACUUAAAAACAGCUUAUUUUCACAGUUUUGGAUGAAAAAAAAAAACUGAAAAUGUGAAGCAGCAAAAAUGAGCUUAUUCUCACAGUAUAUCAAAAACAGUUUUUUUUUCAAAGCACAGCAAUACCAAACCAGCCCUUAUUGGCAUUCCAAAAAUCUCAUUCUACACUUUUCACAAGUGUAUUUUGUUUUCCUAAUAUAGAAAGUUUGGAGUGAAAGAAAAUUUUGAAGUGCUAAUAACAAUUCCCUUGUUUUUAACAAAAUAUUUUUGCCUGUGUCAAACAGUGAUUUCUUCAUAUGUGUCGUUAAGGAGUCAAAACGAACUUAGGAAGCCGAUUACUGUUAGAAAACGUGCCUUAAUUUUGUCUUGGUCUACAGAAAACGCAGAGCAUGGUCCGUUGGCUAUAAAAAAAACAGAGCCCUUUCAGACAACAGAUGCAGAAAAGGCAUAAAAAAAAUACGAAGAGAAAUUCUCAGAGCCUACACUUUUAUUUUUUAUUGUUUUAGCCCUAUUUUUAUUGCGAUGGCUGCCCAAUUGGGUGCCAAAAGGGAUCAAAAUGCAGGCCAAUGGAAGAAAUUAAGGGCAGCCCCCUUGAAUCUCCAAUUUUUAUUCUUACAAGUUUGCCAUGUACAACUCCCCCUCCAAGUCUGUGAAGCCUCUUGUGCCCUACUGUGGUUCCAUUUACCACUCUUUUACCGUCCACGUAAAUUUCGUGCCGUUUGAUCCUCUGACCAAGCCCGAUCGCCUCCUGGAUCCGAAUCACAUUGAAUCUCAGCCCUUCAUCUGAUCCUGUGCUUCUAAAUUCAAUCCAAUGGCUCUCCUUUUCAUCAUCCCUUGGAGCCCAAUAUGUCCACAAAUGGUCAUUGUCUAGCAUAUUUUCAGGUCCAAAACCUCCUCCUUUGCCUCCUCUUCGGCUACUAACUUUGAUAGAACAUUUCUCUGCUAAAUUGGUAGAAAAUAUUGCGUCGAUUGCACUUCUGAAUUCUCUCAGUCUUUGAACAUCUUCGUCGGCUAUGAGCCCAGUCGGAUUAGGAGGCACAUUGAGUAGCAGCACACAAUUUCUCCCCACCGAGUUGUAGUAAAUUUCAAGUAGCUUGCUUAGCCUCUUGGGUGACUCUGAUUUAUGCCAAAACCAUCCAUCUCGGAUCGAAACGUCGCACUCUGCCGGCAACCAAUCCGUCCCUUUUGGAUCGCCCUUGUUGAGAUAACUGCAUUCAGUAACAAGACAUUCGUUAGGUGGUGGAUUAAGAUAUGAGAGAGGUCACUUUCCUACAAUAACAUCAAUCAAUCAACCAGUGUCCCUGUAUACACGUUAAGCCAAAUGAGCUACAGUUACGAGUUAUAUCGAAAUGAAUCGUAAUCCUGAAUCUACCCUAAUUCUAACUUGUAACCCUCCCAUCCAUCACUAAACUAGCUACAACUUCAAUUAAUCUGUAAUGCUAAGAGUUUGGCAAUCUACAAAACACUCCAUCUUAAACAAAAUAAAAUGACAGAGGUGGGUUAAGCUUGUAAGUUAGGCAGUGCUCGCCGGCCUAAACACUUCCAUCUUAAACAAAACCAAAUGACAGGUGCGGGUUAGGAUAGUUGACUAAGACAACGUAUCAGUCUGUCUUGCAUUCAAGUACAUCUACUUUUUCGUAAACUAGAGUUGUUCAAAAUAUUGCAUUGUCAGGGAAAAAAAAACAAAUAUAAAACAAGAUAUACCAAAAUGAUGGGAUUUUAUUACAAAGAGAAGAAAAGUGAAUUUCCGUGAAGUAGAAAAUAAAAAAAAAUGGUACUCACUCUUCAAUGCUUGCAUUGCCAAUUGAUAGUGAGGUCCGAUUAAUGGUGGACCAACACGUACUCCCGGCAAACCCUUGCUCAUUUCCAACCCAUCUAACAUCCGGACCAGCAUCCGAAAAUAUGUUAAUGGAGCUCUGCAACUCCUUCACCAUGGAGAACCAAUCUGUGAAAUAAUAGGACAUGUUUGGUGCAUUCUUCCCCUUAUUCCCAUCAAACCAAAUCUCUUUCACACCCCCAUAUCUAUCAACAACAAAACCAAAAAUCAAUAGAAGUUUAGUAUUCUUAACUAUUAAAGUUAAUAUUUUGUAACAGACUUGAGUUACAUCAGUUGAUCAAUGCGGCGAGGCCUUACCUGCUGAGGAGCUCUUGCAGUUGAGCUAAGUAGUACUGGUUGUAGGCAAUCUCAUGCCCGUAUCUCCGAUCAUGUCUAUCCCACGGUGAGAGAUAGAGCCCUAUAUCAAUCCCACGGGGAUUUGCUGCAUCAACCAGCUCAUGCACAACAUCCCCGUGACCAUUUCGCCAAGGACUAUUUGCCACGGAGUGAUCCGUGUACUUUGAAGGCCACAAGCAAAACCCAUCGUGGUGUUUGGCAGUCAGUAUCAUCAGUGAUAUGCCGGCGUCCGACGCUGUUCUGGCCCAUUGGUUGGCGUCGAGACCGACUGGGUUGAAUAUUCCGGGGCUUUCGUGCCCCGUUCCCCAUUCGGAGUCGGUGAAUGUGUUCACUCCGAAGUGGAGGAACAUGAUGAUCUCCCUUUGCUGCCAUUUGAGCUGGGCGUAUGUGGGAAGGGGCAGGAUUGGCAGUGGAGGUGUUGGGACUUGCUCAAGCUUGGAGAAGGUGCAAGUGCACAGCUGAAAGAAUGCGAUUAUCCACAAAGAGCACCAUAUUUUAGCCAUAAUUAUAAUGGCCUUGGCCUGUUGAGUUCUUUUCUUUGUUGUCUAUUUAGCACCUUUUAAAUAGGACUGGAAAUUUUGUAACCACAAUAAAUCCCAGAAGUUGAAAUUGGCCUCAUAGGGUUUAUCUCACUCUCUUUUUCUUUCUUAUAUAUCUUUUUGGGUUUAUGUUACUUAAUUUGCACAAUUUUAGUUUUGUUUCUUGUUGAAACUCUUGCAUGUACAUUAUAAUUGCUAGAGUAUUUACUAUUUUAAGGGUUUCUUUUUCUAUUCUAGCGGUUUUCUAAUUCAAUUUAAUCUAUGAAGAGAGAUAUUCGAACUUGAGUGCAUGUGAAUACAUUGUUCUGAUUCUCAGCUCAAACUUGCUGUUAUUUUUAGAAUUAAAAUGAAAACAAUCUAAACAAACCCAACCAAAUGAAAACAACUAAACAAGCAUACAUCAAUAAAAAAAAAUCAAGGGAAAAUGUCCAAGAAAAUCAUUUAUAAACUAAAAAGGAUGUAGAUGAGGACCAAGCAUGGAGAGAUUGAUGGAGAAAUGCGAAAGCAACAACAACAACUAAUAAUUCUUCACGAAAAGUGAAUUAUUUAGAAGUGGGAAUAGAGGGACCAAACACAUGUAAUGUAAGAGAAUAUUCUCCCAAUAAAGAAAGCCAAACAUGCAUGACACCAAGCAACCUUUUUCUGCAUGAAUUUUUGUUUUCUUCACUUAAUCUUUGCAAUUGUUGUUGCAUGUGAUACAAUCGUUCACGGAUUUCUUGCCUUUUGGUCUGAGUGCAUAGGCGAAGGAUCAUUGUAUGGAUAAACAUCUCCCAUCACCAAUUUAUCAUAACAAGCUUUUAUUAGAUGAGUAGUUCAUAUUUUGAAAAUUCUACAAGUAUUUAUCAUAAAAGUGUCGCGACGGAAACUAUAUUGCAAAACAGAACAUCUCCAUUACAUGGGUUAUUGACUUUGGAGGGUGAGAAAAUCUCUCACAGUGACUGUCUUUCUAGAAGAAAAAUAUGGACGCUUUAGUGGAGAAUAUUGAUGUACGCACAGCAUACCAUGAAACAUGCUUAAAUAUUUAAAAUACUAUGAAGGCCACAUAAUGGAGUUAGGUUGUGGAUCGUCAAGGACAAUCUGUCACUAUAAUUAGGUGAGAUUUUGUAAGGUUUCAUAUGCUUCGGCUACACGUAAAAUAAAGAUACAACUACAACCAUGUUCAUACAACUAAUUCAAAACAAAAAUAAAACUACAAAAGCAAUGAAAAAGAGAUUUUUGGAUAGGGAUUUUUGUACCAGAUCACUCCCUCAUUCAAGAUACACAUAUAGAGAGAUUCCCGCAUUCAGAUUUUGUAACAACCCAUUUUAGAGGAUCGGAAUGCAGAAUAUCUCCAUACGCGCGUUUUGGGCGCACGAAUAACGUGAUAAGAAAGUUUCUACCAAAAAAAUUUCCCAUGCAAUGUCAUGUGUGAAAAUCUCUCACAGUGACUGUCUUUCUAGAAGAAGAAUAUGGACGCUUUAGUGGAGAAUAUUGAUGUACGCAAAGCAUACCGUGAAACAUGCUUAGAUAUUUCAAAUACUAUGAAGGCCACAUAAUGGGGUUAGGUUGUGGAUCGUCAAGGACAAUCUGUCACUAUAAUUAGGUGCGAUUUUGUAAGGUUUCAUAUGCUUCGGCUACACAUAAAAUAAGGAUACAACUACAACCAUGUUCAUACAACUAAUUCAAAACAAAAAUAAAACUACAAAAGCAAUGAAAAAGAGAUUUUUGGAUAGGGAUUUUUGUACCAGAUCACUCCCUCAUUCAAGAUACACAUAUAGAGAGAUUCCCGCAUUCAGAUUUUGUAACAACCCAUUUUAGAGGAUCGGAAUGCAGGAUAUCUCCAUACGCGCGUUUUGGGCGCACGAAUAACGUGAUAGGGAAGUUUCUACCAAAAAAAAUUCCCAUGCAAUGUCACGUGUGAAAUUGACCUCUAGCAGGCCAGACCAUAAACCUUGGGCUGAUAUGAAUCAUCUUAAGGGCCUAAUUUUCUUACCCACUAAUUGUAUUUACCAAAGGAGAGUGCAACUAAGCCCAUCAUGCAACAAUAAGAAUUUCUUCUUCUUUUUUUUUUCUUCCAAUUUUAUCCAUAUAAGAAAUAAAAAAACAAAAAUAAAAUCAGAGGAGAAGGGUUACAAAAUAAAAAUUGUUAGGUAUCAAGACUCUCAACAUCAAACUUUUGGGCUAAAAGAAUUGUCAUACUUUAAAAAAGGAUAUUUAUCACAAAUAAUCUCUAAAAAUUGACCCAUUUUAAUUAAGAUGAUUUUUAAAAUUAAAAAUUAAUCAUUGUAGUUCCUGAAUAUGAAUGACGCUAAUCAAUGUUGUCAUUCUGUUAAAAUUUUGUCAAAACUUCUAUUAGUGGUUUAUGUGGAACAUAUGCGAGACCUGUGAGUCUAAUUAAAUAGUGCUACAUGGAUAAAUUUUCAAAACUAUAUAAAAAUGAGAAUUAUUAUUGUCACUCUAAAAAUCUUAUUUUGCACUCCAACUUUCCAUAAUUAAGAAGAAAAAUGCACUUGUCAGGAGUGUAGAAUAAGAUUUUUGGAGUGCUAAUAACAGUUCCCAUAAAAAGUAAAAAGAAAUGCGAAGAAGACUUUCUCAUAAUUGGGACUUUCGAUGAAUUCUCUUUCACCUCAUGUUUUUAGAACAAUAUUUUAUAAUGUUGACACAUGCAUUGAUGCUAAAGUUAAACUAUGAAGUAGCAGAGAGUCCAUAAAGAGUUAUACUUUUGAGAGAGUCUCCUAAACAUUUCUAAAAAAAUAAUUUAAAUCAUUAAAAUUUAAUUAAAAUUUUAAUAAAAACGUUAGUGUAAUGUGAGAGAUGAAAAUUCAGUAUGAGGAUAUGGAAGUCUAUCUCUUUACUAAAGAAAUAUUUCACACGGAUGAGAACUAUAAUUUUGCUUAUGGAAUGAACUUAGUUGUGGAAGAAUUUUCUUGAGGUACACUUCAGAGUAAGAUUCUCUUAUCUCUUUUUUUCAUCUCUUUUUCCUUCAUCUCUUCUCACACUCUCCCUUUUAUUUUAUUGUUUCUAUGUAAAAAUCAAUAUAAAAUCUUAAUAUUGCUUAAUCGUAACGUUUAAGUAAGAAUGGAGAAAAAUUGAGAGAGAUGAGGAAGAGAGAAUCCACCUCCCUAAAAUUCAGGCCUUCAUCACAGUACAUUCUUACUUUAUUUGGCAGGUAGCCAGCGUCCGUACUCCAAAUUUGUCCUCAUUUGCUCACGAAAUUAUUUCACUGUAUAUUGUUGCCAAGCAAUAUUUAUGGGAUGAGGGCAUUUGUGUUAACUACAUUGAAAUGUUUGGGAAUUGAAGAAAAAAUCAAGAAGAAAUGAUGAAUAGAAGGAUGAAUACAGAGAUCUAGAGAGAGAGAGUUUAGAGAGAGAAAUAUGAUUUAUAUUGACUUACUGAAUGAAAAUUACACACUGUUUUUAUAAGAGAAAUCCUAACUACUUUAACCAAAUACUAACAAACUUAUUAACUGUAUUGCUAACUGUAUUUCUAAUUGUAUUACUGACUUGUACCCUUAAUAAUUUGUCACAGCAAUUUGGCCAGCCAAUAUGAAUUCCUUCCAGUGUUAUGCUCACCAUGGAAUACAAAGCUGGCAGCCAACUGUAGCAUGCUAUCAUAGGAUGCAAAGACUUGUUUUCCGAAUGAUACUUGGCCAGAUGAAAUUAACGUCAAAAGGAGGGAUGGCUCGGCGAAAUUAUCUACCGGGUGAUGGCGCAGAAGUGUUUUGGCCAGAUAGAUGGCUUGACGAAAAUGGCCAUUUGCAUCAAGAAAGCCCUUUCAAAUUCACAGCCUUCCAGGUAAGAAAAAAUGUUGAUUGCAUUCACACCCAUCGCAAAUUUUAUUACCACAGAAAUGCGAAAUUCUAAAGAGAUUUUGUGAUUCGAUGCAGGCUAGUUCAAAUUUACUUAAAGGGAGAUGAUAUUUUCUGCCGUGCGUUUAGACGUCUUCAUAUUCAAGCUAACUGGUGAGGAGAAAGCGUCAAUUGCAGGACGAUGGUCACCCUCCAUGUUGAUGGGGAUUGGGGUAUGUUAACUUAUACAAUUUAUGUACAUUUUACUUAUGGUAUCAUCAAUGGCAUAACCAAAUGUUUUCCUUCUUUUCUUCUUUACAUGCCUUCCAAGAAUGUGCCCCAUUCAAGUCUCGUCUUUAGGAGAAAAACUUAGGGUAGAGACACUCCGACCUAAUCAUCCUGUAUUUUGGUUAGGGUCACAAAAACAAAGAACUCUCUUGUAUUUUCCCCUAGUAAACGAGUCCUACCAAAGUUUUCUUGAUUAUAUGUCUAAUAAAGUAAUCAUCACUGAACUCACAUUUGGUAUUGGAACUUGAAGGUAGUGUGUCUCCAUCAAUAAUGUCCUCCAAAAUGGAAAAUACUGGCUCCUUUUUUUGAAAAUAUUCAGUCCUAGCUACUUACUAAUCACAGCUGGAGAGCUGCGCACAAGCUUUUCUUUAUAUGUUUUUAACAUAAUAUUUUUGCAUGUAUCAAACUGUGAUUUCUUCGUAUGUAGCGUUGAAGAAUCAAAAUGAACUUUAAGAAGCCGAUCACGGUUGCAAAUUAAAACAUGCCUUAAUUUUGUCUUGGUCUACAGAAAACGCAGAGCAUGGGCAGCUGGCUAUAAAAAAACAGAGCCCUUUUUAUUGCCUUUAUCUGGUACAACAGAGAAUAACGUAUUCCAAACAAAAUCAAUUGAUUCAGAAAAGGCAUAAAAAAAUAUUAAGAGAAAUUCUAAGAGCCCACAAUUUUAUUUUUUUAUUACCCUAUUUUUUGUUGAGAUGGAUGCCCAAUUGGGUGCCAAAAGGGAUCAAAAUACAGGCCAAUGGAAGAAAUUAAAGGCAGCCCCCUUGAAUCUCCAAUUUUUAUUCUUACAAUUUUGCCAUGUACAACUCCCCCUUCAAGUCUGUGAAGCCUC
RNAcentral lists this long non-coding RNA (34188 nucleotides) under Malus domestica (apple). Its description in RNAcentral is "long non-coding RNA (MDOM_LNC001149)". Lineage: Eukaryota; Viridiplantae; Streptophyta; Magnoliopsida; Rosales; Rosaceae. The record is from RNAcentral.